AUUGCAAAGAGUACUUAUGGGGCUGUAAAACCAAGAGCUCUUUAAUACUGGAAUCAAAAACUGAAGUGACUAUUGCAUGCCAUAGUCACUCAAUAGUGUUAUGUAUCACCUCUGUGGUGGUAUU
This 124-nucleotide small nucleolar RNA is filed under the name Otolemur garnettii (small-eared galago). RNAcentral describes it as "Small nucleolar RNA SNORA25 (ENSOGAG00000023702.1)". The record is from RNAcentral. Lineage: Eukaryota; Metazoa; Chordata; Mammalia; Primates; Galagidae.